AUGGGCCAGCUAUUGAGCUGGAUCCGAGGCCCACGGGACGCCCCGGCCCUGCAGGAUGCGUCUGUGGAGGAGCAGUCGCAGCCGAGUCAGGCAACACCCAAACCGGCACCUCAGGUCUCUGCUGGGAAGCCUGCGCAGUUCGAGAAGGCAUCAUCAGGAUCUGCCAUGGCUGCAAAGCCUGGGAUGGUUGCCACAGCAACAGGCGAUGCUACAGGAAGUGGGCCGGCAGCAGGGAAACAGACGGCUAAAGCUAAACCAGAGGUAGAUUAUUCCUGGAAGUCUGAGCAAAACUCUGGAUGCUUUUGGCACUUUGGUGUAACACGGCUUCUUUCUCAUGGGUUCAAACCUUCAGUGUGCUCAUCAUGGGAGAACUUGAACCUCCGUCUUUUCUGACUAAACUGCAUUUGUUAAACCUCUUCUUCGUUUCGUGUGAUGCUUCUAGUAAUGUCACUCUUGUUGGCAUUAUUUUGUUCAUUGGAUGCAAAACUUCUGCUUCAUCCCUUGAAAGCUCUUUCAUCAUGAGGCUUGUGAGGAAUCCCAUGCUGUCUUCUAAAAUUCGUGAACUUUUUUCAAACACAUUCUUCUUCUCCAAAGACUAACACUACACAGGUCGGUGCUACUCUUACUGACAUGCUAUCAUCAAAUGUUGGUCUUAAAGAUGCUGUCAUGACCUGAAAAAAUGGAAAAGCUUUUUAAAAAUUCAAUAAUGGACCAAAAGCUGGAAAACACCAAUACUGAAACGUUUGUUGUUUGUUGUUUGUUGGUGAAAUCUCUGUCUGGAUUCCAACACAAAUGAGAAAAAAAAGAGUUUUAGUUUAGCCUGAUCUGCCCAGGCUAAACUGGUUACUUUUACCUUUCUUGAUUUUGAGUCCCACAACUCUCCCACAACUCUCUUCUACUUUCUUUACAGUUCCUGUGAAUCCUUUUUAUGCUUGUGUCCAUGAAUAAUCGUUUGACUGCGUGUUUGUAGACUGCAACCCAAGUCAAGGGCAAGACUACAGUUCCUUCUCCUGCAGCUGGAUCAGCAGCUGUCUCUGGUACAGCAGCAGCAGCAUCCUCUACAAAACCUAAAGAGUCACUCAAAGACUCAGCCAAGGUAGACUUGACUUCUGCAAGCCUUUUCUGAGCAACGGCUCUCUUGGUAUUUCUUUGGUGUCUUCCAUUUCUGUUUCUCUUCUCUGACUUUUGUCGUUUGAAUUUUUCAAAGACGCAUUGAUACUUGCUUUGCGAGCUCAGUGGCCUUAUGGUAGAGUGUCCGCCCUGAGACUGGAACGUCAUGAGAUCAAAUCCACGGCUGAGUCAUACCAAAGACUCUAGAUAUUGGACCCAAAGCCUUCCUGAGCAUUAACUCCACAUUACAGGGUUGGAAUGGGGAUUUAAACCAACAAAUGGUUCACGAGUGGAGUUGUGUCUGCAGCUCAGUGCUCUUCCAGGGGACGGGUCAAAUGAGAACAAAUUUCACAUAUUUAAUGGGCCUUUGGACAAUCUUUCAGGAGCCUUUAUGAAGCAACUCUCUGCUUUGGCAUACGGUACAUAGUGCAUUUCUACUUUCAGGGGAUUUAAAGUAACUUUUUUUCCCCUGCGCAUCUCUCAUCUCAAACCUGAGUCUGGGACAGGCUUCCUGGCUGAUCGUUUGUUUCUCAAUUUAGUGAACGUUAGGCUGCUGAAGUGUUUUUCUCUGGUGAAAAUGAUUCUUUCUGUGCUGUAUUCUAUUAUGUUGUUGUGAUUGUACAUUAUUAUUUAGUAAAAUCUUUGCCCUGUGACUAUAACUCUGUUGUCAUAAAUGUUUUUUUUGGUUGCAAUAAAAAAACACUAUAUCUUACAGCAGGCAAGAGCAACCUGCAAGUAUUGAGAUGUUUGGCUAAGAAGCAGCUCAUUAACACUUCUUUUUUUCCACAAUUGUAAACUGGAUAAACCGGUGCUCAAACAUGUUUUUUUCAAGUUUCAAAUCCUGUCAGAAAAGAAGACUACACCAAAGAUGCACAAAAAGGUGUAAAAUACAAAAGGGGAAAGGUUCAAAGGCUAGCUUUCGGAUUCUGUAUGCAUCAGUUCACUAAUUGGCAAAGGUUUUUUCAGCACAAAUCCCUUGCAUGUUCUACAGAAAGACAAAGAUGAACCACUGUUGUUUUUACCAAUGCAAAAUGCAAUGCAAUGCAAUUAAAAAAUCAAACAUACAAAAAACCCAUAACAAAAAUGAUCAUGUAAGUGGAAAUACCUUACACUAACCUCCAAGCAUGGUGGUGGAGGUAUUGUUGUUGGACUGAUUUAAACCUAAAUUCAGCCGAAUCCUCCUCUUGUCUUGCUGGACAGGUCAAAGUCAGUUGCAGCUACUCUGUCUGUGGUUUGAAACAUGUCUGAAUAUUCUGGUACAUCCAUGGAAGCUGCUGGUUGAUGACAUGUCAUCUGUGAUUUCAUUGAAAUCUUCAGAAAAGAGUAAAUUUUUCUCAAGUGAUUCCUUCAGGGAUUAUAAGCAUUGCCAAAUGCUUUAAUGCAAAUACAUUUUUCCAUUAAAACACAAUUUUACUUUUUAGAAAAUAUUGCCUGUUAGCUAAACAAAUUGAAACCAAAAACGUUUUAUUUUUAGUUAAAUGUUAAUCAAAUUCCAAUCGUUCACACAUUAUUUGCAGCUAAUCGUGGAUGUGUCUUGCAGGUUCAGGUGGAAGUUUCUUCUGCAGCACCAGUAGCCAAACAGGUACAGAUACUCAGUAGAAUUCAGCUGGUUUGAGUUUAGAACUAUGUUGUUUUCUGUCCUUCAUUGUAUUGAUGUUGUUGUGCUGGCAGGCUCCUGGCACAGAUCCCUUAGACGCCUUGGCCAGCAGCCUGCCUACAUCUGACCCUGUUGCCCCCUCACAGCCGUCUUUCACUGGGCCACAGGUCAAAGAGGUAACUGGGCAGCCCUUGCUUGUGUUUGUUUGUGGCAGUUUAUGCAGAAAGAUAUUGGGAUGCUGCAUGGAUCUGGUGUGUUUAAUGUGUGCUGCAUGUGCCUCAGCAUGACAUCACAGCUGAAAAAGGUCAGAGGUGUGGAGACAGAGAGUCCACGCUGCCUCCAGGCUACAGAUCUGAAAAUGUGGUCAGUUUGUCACACUCUCUGUUUCCUUUUUCUUGCUGCCCUUCUGUGUUCGUGUCAUUUUGACCUGGGUGGCAAAAAGGUUUGAAGAGAAUUCUGUUCCUCUUGGAACAAAGAUAAAGUAAAUAAAGUGUAAUUUAAGUGUAGACCCAAGUACCAUUUGCUAAACAAACGGCUAUAAAAUUUUAAUA
Long non-coding RNA from Oryzias sinensis (Chinese medaka), 3258 nucleotides. The record is from Ensembl. Lineage: Eukaryota; Metazoa; Chordata; Actinopteri; Beloniformes; Adrianichthyidae.